RNAcentral lists this ribosomal RNA (995 nucleotides) under Staphylococcus sp. HMSC068H08. Its description in RNAcentral is "bacterial LSU rRNA". It matches the Rfam family "Bacterial large subunit ribosomal RNA", at positions 1 to 991 of the family's 2925-position model. Lineage: Bacteria; Bacillati; Bacillota; Bacilli; Caryophanales; Staphylococcaceae. The record is from RNAcentral.
AGAUUAAGUUAUUAAGGGCGCACGGUGGAUGCCUUGGCACUAGAAGCCGACGAAGGACGUUACUAACGACGAUAUGCUUUGGGUAGCUGUAAGUAAGCGUUGAUCCAGAGAUUUCCGAAUGGGGGAACCCAGCACGAGUUAUGUCGUGUUAUCGACAAGUGAAUUCAUAGCUUGUCAGAAGGCAGACCCGGAGAACUGAAACAUCUUAGUACCCGGAGGAAGAGAAAGAAAAAUCGAUUCCCUGAGUAGCGGCGAGCGAAACGGGAAGAGCCCAAACCAAUAAGCUUGCUUAUUGGGGUUGUAGGACACUCUAUACGGAGUUACAAAGGAAUAUGUUAGACGAAUCAUCUGGAAAGUUGAAUCAAAGAAGGUAAUAAUCCUGUAGUUGAAAAUAUAUUCUCUCUUGAGUGGAUCCUGAGUACGACGGAGCACGUGAAAUUCCGUCGGAAUCUGGGAGGACCAUCUCCUAAGGCUAAAUACUCUCUAGUGACCGAUAGUGAACCAGUACCGUGAGGGAAAGGUGAAAAGUACCCCGGAAGGGGAGUGAAAGAGAACUUGAAACCGUGUGCUUACAAGUAGUCAGAGCCCGUUAAUGGGUGAUGGCGUGCCUUUUGUAGAAUGAACCGGCGAGUUACGAUCUGAUGCAAGGUUAAGCAGGAAAUGUGGAGCCGUAGCGAAAGCGAGUCUGAAUAGGGCGUUGAGUAUUUGGUCGUAGACCCGAAACCAGGUGAUCUACCCAUGGUCAGGUUGAAGUUCAGGUAACACUGAAUGGAGGACCGAACCGACUUACGUUGAAAAGUGAGCGGAUGAACUGUGGGUAGCGGAGAAAUUCCAAUCGAACUUGGAGAUAGCUGGUUCUCUCCGAAAUAGCUUUAGGGCUAGCCUCAAGUGAUGAUUAUUGGAGGUAGAGCACUGUUUGGACGAGGGGCCCCUCUCGGGUUACCGAAUUCAGACAAACUCCGAAUGCCAAUUAAUUUAACUUGGGAGUCAGAACA